RNAcentral lists this ribosomal RNA (253 nucleotides) under uncultured bacterium. RNAcentral describes it as "partial 16S ribosomal RNA". It matches the Rfam family "Bacterial small subunit ribosomal RNA", at positions 524 to 776 of the family's 1533-position model. The record is from RNAcentral.
GACGGAGGAUGCAAGUGUUAUCCGGAAUCACUGGGCGUAAAGCGUCUGUAGGUGGUUUAAAAAGUCUACUGUUAAAGCUUGAAGCUUAACUUCAAAAAUGCCGUAGAAACUUUUAAACUUGAGUAUGGUAGGGGUAGAGGGAAUUUCCAGUGGAGCGGUGAAAUGCGUAGAUCUUGGAAAGACCACCAAUGGCGAAGGCACUCUACUGGGCCAUAACUGACACUAAGAGACGAAAGCUAGGGGAGCAAAUGGG